GCAACACAGAAAACCGUGGUAAAGGGAAGGAAAACCAUGGUAAAGCAUACUUUUCAGCCUGUUUGUCCUAGUCGAUAAACCUUUUGAUGCAGUUACAGCCUUACAAUGGAAUCCCGUGAAGAGUUUUAAUUCAUCAGGUGUUAUAAUGUGAAAUCAAGAUUGUAUGAAUGCCACUUUUGUCAUACAGCAGCAACAUGUCAAGGAAUGCUGAAGGCUUCAGUUUUAAAUCGAUAUUUUUUUUUUUUUUACCAUUUGAAGUACCUAUCAAAUCACAAAAUCUGGCCACACCUUUUACAGUCAUACAAUCUGAGAUAGAGAAUAUAUUUAAAAAAAAAAAAAAUUAAAAUUUUCAUUUUGAAUAAUUUAUUGUAUCACUACCAAAUAUUGAUAUUCGGGUCUCAUCACUCCAACAAUUCCAUCCCAUUUGUUCUUUAGACCAAUUAUGUUUUUUAGUCCAUUCUAAACACUUCUUUCUUUGUUUGGGAGACAAAUGUUUUAUUUACUUGCAAUUAUAUACACCAGACCUUUCCAACAAACCUAUCACUCAUUUUCAAACCACAUUGAGACAAUUUUUAAUUUUUAUUAACUCAAUAUUUUGUGUUGAGCACCUUUCCCGCUUUUACCAGUUCAGUUCUGAAUUGAUCGUAUGCAGAUACCACAUUUGGUUACUUGUCUUAUGAUUUCCUACUUACUGUGGCCUUCACACACAGUCAUCUUACUAAAGGCUUGGUUGAACAUGCUUUCUAAUUUUAUACUGUUUGAUAAAUAUAGAGGUCUACACUACGUCAACUAAGUUUAGUUUACGGAGUUAUAAAAUAGAAAAAAAAAAAUACAGUGAACUUGAUGACAAACACAGAUGAAUAAGAGUCCUAUUAUUAGCGCUAAUGCAAGGAAAUAGGAGUAUAUUGUAUAUUGGUUCCAUGCUGUGCCACAGCAUGUGAUUAGCGCUCAAAACAAUCAGUCUCAUUGAUCAAUUCUAGGUCCACAUCAUGUAACAUAAGUCAGCUGUGUUUUCUUUGUCUGGUUAGUUGGGUAUAACUUUUGAUAGAAUAGAGAAUAUUAAAAAGACCUUUGUUGCAUUUCAUUCUGCAUGUCUAAAGAUAUGUAAUUAAACCGGAGUGUAACCAGUAUUGCUUUAAAGGCACACUUCAAUGACAAAUAGAAAUUUAAUUUGAUAAGUUUUGGUCUCAUUAAAUGGGACACUGUACUUCCCAAAUAAAUAAUUUUUAAAAGUUACUAUUUCGUAGAUAUACCCCCAAAUCAGAGCUUUAACCCCUUAAGGACACAUGGCAUGUGUGACAUGUCAUGAUUCCCUUUUAUUCC
Pelobates cultripes (western spadefoot toad) is the source of this 1323-nucleotide non-coding RNA. NCBI's taxonomy places the organism in Eukaryota, Metazoa, Chordata, Amphibia, Anura, Pelobatidae. The record is from the annotation of a GenBank genome assembly.